UGGGGAAUUUUGGACAAUGGGCGAAAGCCUGAUCCAGCAAUGCCGCGUGUGUGAAGAAGGCCUUCGGGUUGUAAAGCACUUUUGUCCGGAAAGAAAUCCUCUGGGUUAAUACCUCGGGGGGAUGACGGUACCGGAAGAAUAAGCACCGGCUAACUACGUGCCAGCAGCCGCGGUAAUACGUAGGGUGCAAGCGUUAAUCGGAAUUACUGGGCGUAAAGCGUGCGCAGGCGGUUUGCUAAGACCGAUGUGAAAUCCCCGGGCUCAACCUGGGAACUGCAUUGGUGACUGGCAGGCUAGAGUAUGGCAGAGGGAGGUAGAAUUCCACGUGUAGCAGUGAAAUGCGUAGAGAUGUGGAGGAAUACCGAUGGCGAAGGCAGCCCCCUGGGCCAAUACUGACGCUCAUGCACGAAAGCGUGGGGAGCAAACAGGAUUAGAUACCCUGGUAGUCCACGCCCUAAACGAUGUCAACUAGUUGUUGGGGAUUCAUUUCCUUAGUAACGUAGCUAACGCGUGAAGUUGACCGCCUGGGGAGUACGGUCGCAAGAUUAAAACUCAAAGGAAUUGACGGGGUCAUAGCUGUUUCCU
This 585-nucleotide ribosomal RNA is filed under the name uncultured bacterium. RNAcentral describes it as "partial 16S ribosomal RNA". It matches the Rfam family "Bacterial small subunit ribosomal RNA", at positions 355 to 1375 of the family's 1533-position model. The record is from RNAcentral.